UACGUAGGGUGCAAGCGUUAAUCGGAAUUACUGGGCGUAAAGCGUGCGCAGGCGGUUGUGCAAGACCGAUGUGAAAUCCCCGGGCUUAACCUGGGAAUGGCAUUGGUGACUGCACGGCUAGAGUGUGUCAGAGGGGGGUAGAAUUCCACGUGUAGCAGUGAAAUGCGUAGAGAUGUGGAGGAACACCGAUGGCGAAGGCAGCCCCCUGGGCUGAGAUUGACGCUCAGGCACGAAAGCGUGGGGAGCAAACAGG
RNAcentral lists this ribosomal RNA (253 nucleotides) under uncultured bacterium. Its description in RNAcentral is "partial 16S ribosomal RNA". It matches the Rfam family "Bacterial small subunit ribosomal RNA", at positions 524 to 776 of the family's 1533-position model. The record is from RNAcentral.